UCAAACGAAUAAGUUCGUUAAAGACCUCGGGAUAGUUUUGGACCUUAAGGCCCAAUGGGCUUUGAACGUCAAGCCCAUUAACUUAAGUUGUAUGACAAUUUAAUGAAUAAAGAUUCAAAAAGGCCCAAAAGCCCAAAUCCCUUUAGGUGGCCGGCCAUGAAGGAGAAAAUUGGUUUUGGUUCUUUAGGUCACUUAUUUGAAGAGACUAUAUAAAGGACUUUAUAGCUAAAAUUCAUUAAGGCUUCUUUUUGGAGAAAAUUGGUGAGAACAUGUCUCUCCUUUUCUCUCUAGGAGGAAGGUCACCUUGGAGGGUACAUCUAGCAAUCCUACUACUCCAAGGUCACUCAUUUCUUCUACAAUCUAACCUUGGUGAAGAGACUUAGAGGUUCCCUAUUUUGGGAACUUGGAGAAACCUAUUCUUCCAUCCAAAUCCAUAGAUUUAAGAUGCAAGGAAUGAAGGCCCUCUCUUUGGGUGAUUAGCCUUUGCUUAUGCAAAGAGGAAUCUUCAAAGGUAUAAAUUUCAACUCACUUUGUUUUGAGUUGAUUAAUGGUUCACCAAUCUACUAUGCUUUGAAUUUCUUGGUUAAUGUUUUGUUUUUAAGUGCAUGCUAGCAUGAUUCCGCCUUUAAUUGUUAAUUGCAUGCUAUAUGAUGUUGCUUAAAUGAACAUGUUUUCACAAAAUCUUCCUUCAAGUGGUAUCAGAGCCUAGGUCUAGUAGUUGGUGAAUCCUUUUGGGUUUUGUGGUUCAUAGUUUGUGAUUUAAAAGUUGUAAUAUGUUACAAGCUUUAUUCUUGUUUCUUUGAAUGUAAAUUUUGUUAGAAAAAUUGCCAUCUCAAAUGUUGUAGAUGUAGUUCAUAUGAGCAUGAAUAUUGGAGCUAAAAUUUGGUGCCAUGACUUUGGGGAUUUUCGGCCAAAUCCUAAGGGUGGAUUUUUGGGUUCUUGUUUGACUUGUUAAAAGUGUUUUAAGGUGACUUUUGGAACCCCUAUGUACCCUAGUUUGGUUAGAUGUUAUUUCCCUAAAGUUUGAAUGGUUUUGGAAUGUUUUUGGGUGAAAAAUGUUCAUGGAAAAUUUUGAGUUUUUUCAUGAGUGUUCUUCAUUGUUCUUGACAUUUUUGCCAAGAACAAAAAGGUUUGUGUUUUGAUUCAAAGUCUUUGUUUUAUUUCAUAAAGUCUUUGUUUUGUGCUUUAUCAAAUGUUUUAAUGUGAUAGAAAUUGUGUAAGGUGAUGGAAAUGGUGAUAGGUGUGUAAGAAGUACUUCUCUUACACACACAUCACUUGCAUGAAUUUAUGUCACAAAUUCCACUUGCAAGGCUUUAUGAAAAUGUUGAAAAAAUUUCCAAAUUUUUGUGGACUUAUCUCCACUCCCUUUCCCUCUCUAAAAACCGGCCCUCCCUCAAUGGGAGUACUUUUGGGUCUUUUAUGCAAUUACAUAAAGUUUUGAUACUUUUGUGUAUUUGCACUUUGGCCCAAAAGUUUAUGUUUUUACGUUUAGGUCCAAAAACGCUGAAGGACAAAUUGUUUUGCUCCUUUAAUGAAGUUUUUGCAUUGAUUAAAUUUUGGGUUCUAGUGUAAUUACAUGAAGUAGUGGACUUUUGUGUCUUUACAAAGUGACCCCAAAAGUUUUGCAAUAUAGCCCAAAAGUUGAGGUUAAUUGCUUUAUGGCCCAAUAAGUUGUGGUUAUUGCAUAUUGGCCCAAAUUAGAUAGAGAACAAAAUUGUUUUGUCUCUUUAAAUGAGAAUUGGAUUUUCAUUUUGUUUAGCUCCAUUUAAAUCAAAUUACAAAAAACCAAUUAUGGAUACAAAAACCAAAUGAAAAUGUUGCAUUUAAUUUAAAGUUAAAGUGUUAAUUAAUUAAAGGGUGAUUAUGAACCUAAGCCUAAUAUAAUUGAGCUAUGUGAUAGGCCGUUUCAAAUUUGUUUGAACCAUGGGAAUGUGUAGAUUAGAUUUUGGUUGUAAUUUGAUUUGAUCAAAUGUUGUAAAAGGGCUUAAGCUCUUCUUUACUUUAAAGUAAUUUGUUUUAUGCAAAUGUUGUAAUGAGCAUAAGCUCACCUUUACUUUGAAGUACUUCUUUCUUGCUUUAUAUGAUAUGCAUGAAAAUGAAGUAGUUGGGUCCAACGCCCCUAAGACAACAAGCCUUAAUGUGAUUAAACGCGUAACUAAAAUCAAUCUCCAUCCCUAGACCGAGAUUCAACACAAGGCUCGUGUUGAAUCUAAACAAAGGUUCAUAGUCAUCCUAAGGCCCUAAGGCAACUAUAUAGUCCAUCGAAUGAAUGCAAAGGUUAUGUUAGUAGUAUCAUAUACUUCUUGCUUUAAAAAAACGUUUUAUAAGCAUAGUGGGAGUAUUAUAUACAACUAAAAACAAUCAUAUGGACCAAUAGUUGUAAUAGGACCAAAAUUGUUUUAAUAGAGAUUAAAAUGUAUGAUUAUAUGUGAUGAGACCUAAAACCCUCAGCCAAACCAUUAUUAAGUUGAUAAGCGUGAGAGUGCUUUGAACACUCUUUCGUGGCCUUCCACCGUGGUAGGCUCCAAUCGUUUGUGACUCGUACACCGGCUUCACCCUAUAAUGGGGGAGUACAAAGUGCGUGCUUACACUCAGGAGGAGUUCUAUAUACAUACAUGCAUGAUGAAGUGAGGUAGGCAACGAGUUUAGCCAACAUGAUAUAAUUCUGAGGCUAUGCUUGAACCCCUACACGAACUAGGCAUGGUGGGAAUGACUUAACAAAGUGCAAUGACGCCAACGUGAUAUAAUUCUGAGGCAAUCAUUCUCUAGAGGCCAAAUAAGAUGGGUACUUGCAUUAGAUGCAAAUGAGUAAGCGUACUCUCUCAUUAUUAUUAACGCUAGCCAACAUGAUAUAAUUCUGAGGUGGGCUUGGUAAUAGUGAGCCUCCCAUAACCUACUAAGAGUUUCCUCCAAAACUCUCGAAUUCCAAUGAGGGAUAUGGAAUUUGCCAAAAAUAGUGGGUGGUGCUAUUUGAUUUAAAGACCCGAGUCAAAUGGCUUAAAAUCAAUCAAUUUAUAUUCGUUAUGUAUUUGUUUACCAAUAUAUUUGCAAACGCUAUCCAACACUUGACAAAUACCGAAUGUUUUAGUUUCCGAACUUAGUACCACAAUCCCAAAGAAUGUCUUAUAAAGAUUGCAUAUGUAUUUAAGUAGUCUCAUCCUCACAAUCUUCCUAAUGAUAAUGUAUCAUUGGAAGAACAUGUUAGAAAAGUCUAUCAUGAAGAGGACAACACAAACAACCAAUGCUUAAUCCUUUGUUAAAUGAACAAAGGAACUUACGAAGAUUAGCAUAAUGACAAGGACACUUUUAGUGUUAUUAGUUCUUCACUUACAAAUCGUUGUAUGAAGAAAUAACAGUUGCUUUGAACAACCCUUAGUCAAUGCAAACACUAGUGCGUGUUUCUUUGUUAAAUGAACAAAGAACUUGAGAAGAAAGCACAAAGGCAUGGACACUUUAUGUGCCAUGAUUCUUCACUUACAAAUUGUUGUAUGAAGAAAUGAGAGUUGCCUUGUACAACUCUUGAAAGUUUGUAAUUAUGUUUAGAACAUAAUGGUUGGUUGACAAAAAUAGUCCAUCAACAUGGACUUAUGAUGAUUUUGAAUCAUUGAGUGUUGAAGUGUUAAACCACUUAACGAGACGGAAACUAGGCAAGGACUUCACCUAUGUGUCCCUAUCCUAAUGGUUCACUAAGUUUAUUGUAAACUAUGUAGUGAACAAUAACCACACACUCUCCAAAUUGUUUGAUGUGUAUAACACAAUUGAAAUAAGUUUCAAGAGAGAUAGUGGGAGUUUAGGGACCAUGACUAUUGUAGUCAAAGGAGAAGUCAAAUGAAGAAAGCGAAAUAACUCCAAGGGAACAAACUUUCUUUAUGAAAGGAUGGACAUUGGAAGGGGUAUUUGCAAGAUAUGUCUUGCAAGUGUCAAGAACACACCUUUCGAAGGUGUUGUAAAAUGUUCUUGAAAAGUUCAAAACAGUUGGUUCUUCUACUUGAAUGCUUGAAUCCGUAUUAGUAACUAUGUUUUACAAUCGUUGUAAAAGUGUGACUAAUAAGAAGUAGAAGAUAAAUGAGAGAAGAGAAAGUACUUCACAUUCGAAACGUGAAUCAAAUGUAGAUCUCUGCGAAAGCAGAUGGUACUUACUUUCUCAUAUGAACUACCAAAGAAAUUGGAAAACAUAGAUUGUCUUUAUAUUCCAAUUUUAAGGAACUAAAUUCCGUCACUGUGUGAAAUGGAUAAAUGUUUUGUUUGACAAAACAUUGUUCUUUAUUAAUCAAUGAUUGGAUUAUGGUAAUCUAAUUGAUUAUCUCUAUAGUAGAGAUAAUAUGGUGGUGUUAACUGUUUAGAAUAUAAUGAUGCUUAAAACCCAAAAAGGUUGUAAGGUAGUGACUAAUCCCAACUAAGUUGUGAUUCCUCUAAAAACAUAAAUUACGAGUUGGUAAUAAAUGGAUGCUUUGGAUUGUUAGAUCCGGAUCCAAUACCUUCUUGUUAAAAUUGUAUAGAGGCGAAAUGUUUGAAUCUUUAUUCUUUUGGAAGAAGAAAGAAUCACAAAGUUGUUAAGGUUAAUUCACUUAGAUGUUAGUGGCACUUGUCCACAACAUAAUACUACUCAUGUUGGAUGACGUUCACCGAAGAUCACUCUCGGUUGGACUAUAGUUUAUCUUGAAUAAACACAAGUCCGAAUACUUUGCAAAAGGUUUCAAAGAAUUCAAGAAAUGUAAGUUGAUGAGUAAGGCGUCUAAAGUAUUUACAUCCUUAGAUUUGAUCCAAGGAAUGGUAACACUUUAGAAUAGUUUCCUUGAAAGAUAUCAAGGAAAUAAGCAUCAUAAGAUAAUAAAUUUCUCCAUUAAGGAGAAGAACGAACUCGAAUAAGAUUUAGUUCGUUAGAUGUUAUCUAUUACCCAUAUAUAGGAUAUAUACUUCUAAAACAAUAUGAUUGUCAAUUAGAAGAUCUUCCAAAUUUUUCAUGACUCCAUAAGAUGUAGUUGGAAAGAAAGACAAAUCUUAAGCAUGUUAAGAUUUGGGGUUGUGUGCUUAUAAGCAAUAUUUGUUUGAUAACAAUCUUGUAGGAUAUCCUUAAAUUAACUUUUGGAUAUCGCUUCUAUAAACCAACUAACAAAUGUUGUUUUGUUGGGUAGUUCAUUGUAAUCCUACAAUGUGAUUUGCCUAAGAGCAAAUGAACGAGAGAUAGAACUCAAAGAAUGGGUUCUUUGAGUGACAAGAAAGUAAUCAACAAAUAUGACAACCUAGUUCCUAUACCACAAGCUCCAAGGUAGUCGAGAAGGAUUAAUAAACCGUCUCAGUUGAAUGGUUUGAACUUUAUGACUAUGUCAUAGAGUUGCACCUCUUAAUUCGAAAGAAAUAAGAAUGAAAAUCCUUAUGACUACAUUGAGUGUAUAUAUGAUAUAUACUCAAGGAAAUGGUAAAGUACCAUUUAACCCGAAAUAAUGAAACCUUCAUAGCUAAUUGGUAGCUUAAGGUGACUACAAUCAAAGAGAAUGGUUGACUUUGAAGGAACCAUUUUUGACGUAGUCUUAGUUUCAAUUAAUUCGAAGAUUGCUAGCUACAACUAAAUGGUGAUUUAAUGUUUGGACAUAAUAUAGGUUUCCGAAACCAUUAUUAAGAUAGUCUUGAUAAUAUAUGUCUAAAACUAUGAAUCACAAGACAUGUAAGUUGUAGAGAUCCAUCCAUCAUGGAUCUUAGCAAGCUAGUGGGAGCUAUAAGCAUCUUAUGAGAAAAAGGAUCAAAUCGUUUGAUUUCUCAUAAAGAUGUAAAUGAAUCUUUUGUUUACUAGGUUUACAAAAGAUUAGUGGGAGUUAAUCAUGUUCCUAAAAUUUAAAUAUAUAUAUGAUAUAUUAAUUUUGGAAAUGAAAUAAAUACUUCUUCGUUAAAGUUAUGACUUUAAAACAUUAUAUGAAGAUAGAAUGUUUAUGGGAGUUAAUCAUGUUCCUAAAAUAUAAAUAUAUAUAUGAUAUAUUAAUUUUGGAAAUGAAAAGAAUACUUCUUCGUUAAAGUUAUGACUUUAAGCAUUCGAUAACGAUAUAAUGUAUAUGGGAGACAUAGUCUAUAAACAUGGGAUGGAAAUCUAUAAUGAUAGAUUUUAGGAUAUAAUUGGAUUAUAUCAAGCCCUAAAUAAUAGACAAGAGUUGCUAUGAAGUUUCUCAUAUGAUGAUGAACUUCAAAUAAAAAGGGCAACUCUAGUGAGACUAAGAAGUUACUCUUCUUAAAGGGAACGUUCCCCUUUGACUCCCAAAGAAAUAAUGCGUAAAUAGAAUCCUUUAUGCAUACGCACAAAGGUGAUUUAUGUAUUUCAUAUUGUAUGAAAAACAUUGAUAUGAGUUGUACCUAGAACGGUACAAGACGAUAUCAGUGCAAGCCCAGGAUCAGAACCAUGGCAACUGUCAAGUGAGUCCUUAAGUAUUUAAGAAAUACUAAAGGAUCAAUUCCUCAAAGAUCGAGGAAGAAUUAGAGUAACGUAAUGGAAGCGUAAAUGUAUUAGAUUAUGAAUCUAAUCCAUCAUUGGAUGUUUCUUCAUUAUGAAUGAAGAGAUAAACAGAUAUCUCUUUAUUAUGACUAAAGAGAUAUUUGGAUGGAAACAUUAAAGUAAUGACUUUAGUGUGUUCCAUUAUGAAUGCAAAAUAUAUUGCCAUAAAGAACCUUACAACAAUGUUGUUUGGAUGGGAAAGUUCAUUUAUGAACUCUCUAUUCGGUUCCAACCAGAAAGUGUAUGACACUAAUGGGGCGAUAGCUCAAGCUAGGGAAUCAAGGUCUCAUCAAGAUCCGAACUCAUAUGAGAGACCGAACCACAUGAUUGAGAAUCAUGUAUAAUGGUGACCUCGUUAUUCUCAAGGUUGCUUCUAUGGAUAACAUAUAGAUAUCCAUUGUCUAGGCCUACUAUUCAGCCAUUUAUGAAAUGACUACAGAAGAGGUAUCAUCACUGAUGACUAAGCUGAUUGGCUCUAGUGCAAGUGGGAGAUUGUUGGAAAUGUGCCCUAAAACCAAUCAUGUGAUGAUACUUUACGGACAUUUCACAUGUUAAACUAAUCUAGUUUAAUAUAAAGGGCAAAGAUUAUUGUUUGAGCCGUCUCAUAUAAAUGUUAUAUGCUUAAACGAUAAAGUCCAAGGAAUAUGUGAUUGGGAGAAUGCAAUCUAAUGAAGUUAGAUUCAUGAGACCAUUCUUUCGUAGACACAUCCUAAAUGUUCCUGAUCAUAGGAUUGUCAAUUGGGCAUUGACAGUCCGUUAAGAUCGGUACGUACUGUGUCUUCUCUCAGGGAGAGUGACUAGUCUCGAGUCAUUGGUGUGUGUGACAUCAAGACAAGUACGUAGGUGCUCAAUAGAAAAUGAGUUCACUGAACACGAUCAACGAAGAGUUCUCAUAUUCAUGUCAUAUGAGAACUCAUGGUUGGGAUAAUGCAAAGUAGUCCUUUGACCUGAGGCAUCACAGUUGUCUUGUGGUUAAGUCCUUGAUCUUUGAUUAUGUCAAACGUCAUUCCAUUGGAGUGUCCACGGCAUCGUUGGGGUUAAGCCACUUAGCCAUGGAGGCAAGUGAAUGCGCAACAAGGGAUCUCUAACCUUCAAACCGUUUGAGGGAGAAUACUCUAUGAUAUGAUUAAAACCUCUGGCCAGAGUAUGAAUGAGAUUUAGAAAUGUCGUUCUAAAUCACAUUCAAGGUAAUCAUAUAAGCACACAAAUCACAUUGGAUAGUAGACAUGAAUAAAUAAACUAUCAAACCAAACAAUGUGGUCAAGAGUAUUAGAUUAGAGAAAGACCGUAUUGCAUUUGUAAUCCUAAACUGAAUAGGUUCUCCACCUCUUCUGAUUAGCUUGGGUAACCAUGAUAUGCUGCUAGGUGUCACUCAUGGUUUGUGGAAGCCCUAAACGUAUAUAAUCACUAAAGGGAGAAUUGAAAGUAAGUUUCAAUUCACAAUCGAUGUAAAAUGGUUUUAAUCGCCCACUGCCUCGCUAAAAGGAACCUAAUGGAUCGUACACCGUGUAAGGUGGAGAUUGAAGAAACAAUGGAGAUGAGUAAGAAUAAUUAAAUGGUUUAAUUAUUUAUGGCAAGGAUUAAUUAAUAUGUUAAUUAAUCAAACGAAUAAUUUCGUUAAAGACCUCGGGAUAGUUUUGGACCUUAAGGCCCAAUGGGCUUUGAACGUCAAGCCCAUUAACUUAAGUUGUAUGACAAUUUAAUGAAUAAAGAUUCAAAAAGGCCCAAAAGCCCAAAUCCCUUUAGGUUGCCGGCCAUGAAGGAGAAAAUUGGUUUUGGUUCUUUAGGUCACUUAUUUGAAGAGACUAUAUAAAGGACUUUAUAGCUAAAAUUCAUUAAGGCUUCUUUUUGGAGAAAAUUGGUGAGAACAUGUCUCUCCUUUUCUCUCUAGGAGGAAGGUCACCUUGGAGGGUACAUCUAGCAAUCCUACUACUCCAAGGUCACUCAUUUCUUCUACAAUCUAACCUUGGUGAAGAGACUUAGAGGUUCCCUAUUUUGGGAACUUGGAGAAACCUAUUCUU
This 8502-nucleotide long non-coding RNA is filed under the name Malus domestica (apple). RNAcentral's name for it is "long non-coding RNA (MDOM_LNC008527)". The record is from RNAcentral. Lineage: Eukaryota; Viridiplantae; Streptophyta; Magnoliopsida; Rosales; Rosaceae.